Athene cunicularia (burrowing owl) is the source of this 128-nucleotide long non-coding RNA. RefSeq lists it as uncharacterized. NCBI's taxonomy places the organism in Eukaryota, Metazoa, Chordata, Aves, Strigiformes, Strigidae. The record is from RefSeq and is a predicted model, not a curated record. The transcript is spliced from 3 exons.
CCUGUUAGCAAAAAUAAAUGUCACAAUGUUUCACAGCUGGAUAGUGCAUGAUUUAAUGAAUAGAGGAGAACGGUCUCCGGGAACAAGCUCCAAAAGGUUCAUCAGAUGCCCUGGGCCCCAUGCAGGAG